UGCCAGCCGCCGCGGUAAUACGUAGGGUGCAAGCGUUGUUCGGAUUUACUGGGCGUAAAGGGCGUGUAGGCGGAAAGAUAAGCAGGAGGUGAAAUCCCGGGGCUCAACCCCGGAACUGCUUCCUGAACUGUAUUUCUAGAGAGGGUCAGAGGUUAGUGGAAUUCCUGGUGUAGAGGUGAAAUUCGUAGAUAUCAGGAGGAACACCGGUGGCGAAGGCAUCUCUCUGGACCGAUACUGACGCUAAGGCGCGAAGGCGUGGGUAGCGAACAGGAUUAGAUA
RNAcentral lists this ribosomal RNA (279 nucleotides) under uncultured bacterium. RNAcentral describes it as "partial 16S ribosomal RNA". It matches the Rfam family "Bacterial small subunit ribosomal RNA", at positions 506 to 784 of the family's 1533-position model. The record is from RNAcentral.